RNAcentral lists this ribosomal RNA (486 nucleotides) under uncultured bacterium. Its description in RNAcentral is "partial 16S ribosomal RNA". It matches the Rfam family "Bacterial small subunit ribosomal RNA", at positions 28 to 507 of the family's 1533-position model. The record is from RNAcentral.
GACGAACGCUGGCGGCGUGCUUAACACAUGCGAGUCGAACGCUGAAGACCUGGCUUUUGUUGGGUUGGAUGAGUGGCGAACGGGUGAGUAACACGUGAGUAACCUGCCCUCUUCUUUGGGAUAACGCCCGGAAACGGGUGCUAAUACUGGAUAUUCACUGAUCUUCGCAUGGGGGUUGGUGGAAAGGUUUGUUCUGGUGGGGGAUGGGCUCGCGGCCUAUCAGCUUGUUGGUGGGGUGAUGGCCUACCAAGGCUUUGACGGGUAGCCGGCCUGAGAGGGUGACCGGUCACAUUGGGACUGAGAUACGGCCCAGACUCCUACGGGAGGCAGCAGUGGGGAAGAUUGCACAAUGGGCGAAAGCCUGAUGCAGCGACGCCGCGUGAGGGAUGGAGGCCUUCGGGUUGUAAACCUCUUUCGCUCAUGGUCAAGCCGCAACUGUGGGUUGUGGUGAGGGUAGUGGGUAAAGAAGCGCCGGCUAACUACGUG